AAUCUACAAGCUGCACGCAGUCAUCCAGUGAUUGAGAGGAGAGAGGAGGCUUUCAACAAACGAUAUAUCAUGAAGAGAUAUGUGAAAAACACCUUGAGGAUUGAUUCUAAACAACGUUUACCAUGUUUCAGUCGAUAUUAUGGAGUUAAUUUGGAAAAAGGUUCGGCGUUUUGAAGACUGAAUUUUCAUUUUUUUUUGGUAGCCAAACGUGACGCACCAAACGGAGCAAUUUCUCCUAAACAAAUAAUCUUUCAGGAAAAACUGAGCAUUUGCUAUCUAACUGAGUCUCCUCAUUGAAAACAUCUGAAGUUCUUCAAAGGAAAAACUGAGCAUUUGCUAUCUAACUGAGUCUCCUCAUUGAAAACAUCUGAAGUUCUUCAAAGGACCUGAGCCCUAAGACCAUGCCUCAGGACUACCUGGCAUGAUGACUCCUUGCUGUCCCCAGUCCACCUGGCCGUGCUGCUGCUCCAGUUUCAACUGUUCUGCCUGCGGCUAUGGAACCCUGACGUUGUUCACCGGAUGUGCUACCUGUCCCAGACCUGCGGUUUUCAACUCUCUAGAGACAGCAGGAAUGGUAGAGAUACUCUUGAUGAUCGGCUAUGAAAAGCCAACUGACAUUUACUCCUGAGGUGCUGACUUGCUGCACCCUCGACAACUACUUUGAUGAUUAUUAUUUGACCAUGCUGGUCAUUUAUGAACAUUUGAACAUCUUGGCCAUGUUUUGUUAUAAUCUCCACCCGGCACAGCCAGAAGAGGACUGGCCACCCCUCAUAGCCUGGUUCCUCUCUAGGUUUCAUCCUAGGUUUUGGCCUUUCUAGGGAGUUUUUCCUACACACCGUGCUUAUACACCUGCAUUGCUUGCUGUUUGGGGUUUUAGGCUGGGUUUCUGUACAGCACUUUGAGAUAUCAGCUGAUGUAUGAAGGGCUAUAUAAAUACAUUUGAUUUGAUUUGAUAUUCUAUGUUUUAUUAUUCCUGGUAUAUACUACUGGUUAUGAUUACAGACAGAGCCCAGAGAAUAGGAUGGUGCAAUAUUGUCCACUCACCCAGAGAUAUGCCCAUGCUGUAGAGAUACACCUAGUGGACUGAAACUUCACUGUUGUAGGCAUAAUAAAGCUAGUGCUAUCUAGACUUGUGCUGGUAAACACAUCCAUUACAUUAGCUACUUAAAUGUGAACUAAACUUAAUUGAGGAGUAAUAGAGAAUGAAGACUUUUAACUUGAAAACGUGCAGGAUACCUCUUUCCGUUUUCCCUGACUGUUCAGGUCCCACUCCUCACAGGCCGUUUGGUGUAAGUUUUUUUUGUUGGUGAGAUUUUUUGUUCAAGCCUAAAAUGUUAGUCCGUAAUCGUAACAUGGUGUAUGGGGAAAUAUGGAUACCUAGUCAGUUGUACAACUGAAUGCCUUCAACUGAAAUGUGUCUUCCGCAUUUAACCCAACCCCUCUGAAGGUGUGGGGGCUGCCUUAAUCGACAUCCACGUCUUCGAUGGCCAGGUAACAGUGGGUUAACUGCCUUGCUCGGGCAGAACGACAGAUUUUUACCUUGUCAGCUCUGGGAUUCGAUCCAGCCACCUUUCGGUUAUUGGCCCAACGCUCUAUGUUCACAGAUGAAAUUCAACGUUUAUGUUCAUGUUUAAUGCAUGGCUUUUCUUACGAUCCUAAUAAUUUACGUAUGGAUUGUCUUGGGAUCCUAACGAUACCUACGUUCAACCUUUUGGCAGGUAUCUGGCUCCAUACAUAACCUCUGUAUCAGGUGGUGUGAAAUGAAGGCCCCGAAAAUCGUUAAAGACUCCAGCCACCCAGACCAUAGACUGUUUUCACUGCUACUGCACGGCAAGCAGUACAGGUGCAUCAAGUCUUACACCAACAGGCUCCUGAACAGAUUCCAUCCCCAAGCGAUAAGACUGCUAAAAAUAGGUAACUAAAUAGCUAACAAAAAUGGCUACACGGGCUAUCUGAGUUGACCUUUGUAUUACAUUUUUUGCACACUCACAGGACCCUACACACUCACGCACACUGAUUCUACAACACAAACACUCACUCCAUCACUUACUCACACACACAUGCACAUACACUUACAGUAUAUUGACUCUACACACACGCACACCCACUCACAGACACUCAUCUUAUACGCUGCUGCUAACCUGUUUAUCAUAUAUCCUGAGGCAUAGUCACCUUUUCCUUUACAUAUCUACCUCUGUCACUCCAGUAUCCCUGAACAAUAAGGUACUGGAACUGUCUGACUCUGUAUACAGUGCAUUCGGAAGGUAUUCAGACCACUUUACUUUUUCCAAAUUUUAUUACGUUACAGCAUUAUUCAAUAUUUAUUAAAUUGUUUCUUUGUUUCCCCACAUCAGUCUACACACAAUACCCCAUAAUGACAAAGCAAAAACAGAUUUUUUAGAAAUGUUUGCACAUUUUUACAAAUAAACUGAAAUAUGACAUUUUCAUAUUCAGACCCUUUACUCAGUACUUUGUUGAAGCACCUUUGGCAGUGAUUACAGCCUCAAGUCUUCUUGGGUAUGAUGCUACAAGCUUGGCACACCUGCAUUUGGAGAGUUUCUUCCAUUUUUCUGCCAGGUCUCGCUUGGCAUUCAGGCCAAAGAGUUCAAUCUUGUUUUCAUCAGACCAGAGAAUCGUGUUUCUCAUGAUCUGAGAGUCGUUUAGGUGCCUUUUGGCAAACUCCAAGCGGGCUGCCUUUUACUGAGC
Long non-coding RNA from Oncorhynchus tshawytscha (Chinook salmon), 2706 nucleotides. The record is from Ensembl. NCBI's taxonomy places the organism in Eukaryota, Metazoa, Chordata, Actinopteri, Salmoniformes, Salmonidae.